Molecule: transfer RNA, 74 nt
Filed under: Mariniblastus fucicola
Lineage: Bacteria; Pseudomonadati; Planctomycetota; Planctomycetia; Pirellulales; Pirellulaceae
Description: tRNA-Pro
Rfam family: tRNA
About the family: Transfer RNA (tRNA) molecules are approximately 80 nucleotides in length.
Source: RNAcentral
CGGGCUGUAGCGCAGUUGGUAGCGCGCUACACUGGGGGUGUAGAGGUCGCUGGUUCAAAUCCAGUCAGCCCGAC